GCAACACUGCAUCUGAACCACAUCUGCAACCUACACCACAACUAGUGGCAAUGCUGGAUACUUAACCCACCAAGCAAGGUCAGGGAUCAAACCCGCAUCCUCACAGAGACAAGUUGGGUUCUUAACCCGCUGAGCCACACAGGAACUCCUAAACAUCCUAUUUUUUAGUGGAUUACCCCCCCACACACCCCCAUGGUAGCAGCAGCUUGAUGUGGCAUCCCAAGGGACUGAACCCAGACCACAGCAAUGAAAGUGCUAAAUCCUAACCGCUGGACCACCAGGGAACUUCCCAAUAAUACCCUAUUUCUUAGGAAAGACUCACUAUACUUUAUCUCUAAUUAAGAAAACCACAAACAUUAAGUUCAAGAGAGACUUCAUUUGAUUUUACAUAAGAAAAAAGAGGAUUAUAGAUAAUUUACCCAGAGUGCACACCACAGGGAUGGACUGGGUACAAAACGUGUACAAGAGGCAAAAGCUAAACAAGCGACUGAGAUGAGCCUUUCUCUCCCCUUCCACCUCCCCACUGCCCAUCAACCCGGGACCCUUGGUCUCGUCUCAACACUGAGCACCGGGUGGGAAGACUGCCAGCUGGCAGCGUCACGGCUGGGCCUGCCUCUCCUCAAGCCCACAGACGCUCUGUGGGAUGACGCUGACCAAGAGCUUCCCACCACACACGCAGCGGCACGCGUCUACACACAGCUUCCCAUUCAAUCCUGACGGCCACCUGUUGGGAGGCUCAGGCCUCUGCGGCCUCUGGCACUCCAACCUGCCCUGCUGGCUGUGCCAAGAACGCAAGGUCCCCACCGCUCUUUGCCCAGGCCGUUUCGCAGGGCUGUGUUUGCAGCAAGCAGCCUUGAGAGAUGUGAUAAUGUCUCCCUCAGGGACAAAGCGCAGGCUUGCCUAUUGCCUGCCACAGAGGUUCCCCAGGCCCGUGUUUCUCAGCUAUGACACAAGGCACAGCAUCCAUCUGGCCCACAGUGUCACCUCCAUGGGACUUAGGGGAAGGGAAACUGACACGCACUGAUGCUUACACUCGUAAUAAAGUCCUUUGUCUCCAACUCUGGAGUUAUACAUCCAAAAAGAUGGCAAGGAGACAGGAAAAUUUCUCCCUCCUGCGUCCCCUGCUACCCAAAUCCUGUAAACCGCCUCUCUCAGAUCUUGCUACACGAUUCAUCUUCCAUCUUUAAUUCCAUUUUUUGUCCUUAAACUCAUUUAGAAUCCACGGCAGUAUGUGGUUAAACUUAAUUGAUUCUUUUCAGCAUUGAAACCCAAAUGCCCCAACAACAAAAUAAUCAUUCCUUCCCUUGCUUCUGUAUAUUUCCUGAUGUCUCAUACAUCAAGCUCCUGUGGAAGUUAGCAAUGAAGUGACUUCUUUUCCGUUCAUUUAUUUUCCUGCUUUUACCCAAGCACCAUGAGAUUUAUGAAUUGCUAUCAUACAAUGUUUUGAAGGCUCAACCAUUUUUAGACCAUGUAACAUUGGAAUAAUCUCAAUGACUCAGAGGCUCCACGUGUGUUAAAUGCCAAUAACUGCUGGUCCCCAACAUCCAUCCUUCCCUUCUUCUUCAGUAAUAGAACUUCUGGUUUGUAGGUGACAGUUUCCCUGAAUAUAUAUUACACUUCCCAGCUUCCCUUACUGCCAGAUGUGGCCAUACGACCAAGCGUCAUGCACAAUUUCUGAAAAGUGGCCCUUGAGGGCUGGAAUGUAGAUGCAAGAGCUAGAGCUCUAGCAGCCAUUUCAGGCCAUGAAGUGACCUAGGUCUGGGAAGCCAUUCCCAAGAUGACCUCAUGAUGGAACAACAAGACAGAAGGAACCGGGUCUCUGACCAUGUAGGCUCAAAACUCUGAACUGAAUACCCUCCUGAUUUCUCACACAUAAGGCAGAAACUUCUAUCUUAUUUAUGUCUUCAUUACUUUUGAGUCUUCUGUCAUGUAUACCUCAACCUACAGAAGUGGCUCUCUCAUAAAGCAAAUGAUAAAAGGUUACAUGAGAAUAUGUAUCACCAUAGAUACGCACUUUUAUAUCCUCCCAAGAGUCAAGCACUGCUUUUACGAAGAGCAGGCAACUCAAACACUUGUUGAAAUGAAUAGAAUCAGGAAGAAUGAGGCCAUUUCACUGCCUUAAUUUUUUUGCUUUUUUUAACUAAUUUAUUUUUCCAGAUAAAGAUCACUAUUUUAUCAGGUUUUAUAAAAUAUAUAAUUGGAAUUGCAUUAAAUCGUUACCAACAUUUGGGGAUGUAGUAUUGUCACUAUUGCUAUGUUUAUAGAGUCCCCUGGAAAGAGCCAGAAAUUGACUGACUGACUGACUGACUUUCAUCCUAUCAAUUCAAAACACAUUCAGUAAGAGGCUAUUCUGUAAUAAGUCCAGUCAUAAAAAUGAGACUUUGGGGUUGCCAAAGAGACAUCAGGUAAAUAAUCUCUAAGGCCACGUCCGCCAGUGCCCACCAAAUCCUGAAGGAGACGGAAGAGGCGGUGAUAAUCUCUAUCAUCACUCAAGACUAAGGCUGACGUGCUGCGCUGUCUUAUCACCUCCAGCUGUUGACCCAGAAUCCUCUUGCUUCUCCUCUUCACAGCCAGUAAAACUCCCUUAACCAAGGUUCCUGGGCCUGGUGCUUUUUCACCUUCUCUCAGGUAAACCCUCCUGUGACUCUCCAUCGUCAUGCUUUUCCUCUCCGCGUUCCCACCAGUAUGGUGCCACUCACACGCCCGACACUGUUAUGGCUGAAACGCUUUAUUUCAUACACUUGCUGUACUGGUGAGGUUUAAUCCGGUGGAGACACCUGCCGAGGGACUCAGGCGAUGAUGGCGAUACCACCAUCAUCACUGCUAUUACUGUCGUUUAUUGAACCAAUACUCUGUGACAGGUACUUUGCUGAGCACCUUACCCAUAGUAAUAUACCACUUAGUCCUGACAAUAAUUCCCUAAGGUGGGUAUUGUUAUCAUACCCAUUUAAAGUGAGAAAACUGAGGCCCAAAGAGUUUGGAUAACUUAUCCAAAGACACACAUUUAUAAGAGUAUCCUACCUGGCUACAGCAGUGAGUCCUUGGGCAGAGGCGGGAUCUGAACUCAGCUCAGUCUGCCCCCGACUCUCAACCACUUCUCUAUGUUCCAUCCCACAAGAGCUGAACAUGUUAUGUUCUGUAUAAGUACAUGCACUCCUGUCUGUCUGUCUGUUUUCUCCUCUUUGCCUAAGCACUGGGGUUUCCCAACUCAGCGAAUGUUAAUCUCUCUUCUUUUUCCUUUCCUGGCGGGUGAAAGGCUUCACACCAGGGUGGUUGGCCCUGGGAUCAAGGAAGCUGCUUCCCUCGAGUUACCCCUGAUCCUGUCUCACUGCUCCUCUGCUGUGGCUUUCAGCACCAGGGUCAGUGGCAAGCAGGUCUCAGCCUCCACGCUACACUCCUAGGUCUUUGGGUUCAGGGUGAUACUUAGAAAACACGUUGGAUCAUAGAUCAGUUUCCCACUGGCUCUCUCAGACUAAAGACUCUCACCAGGUUCUGUUAGCUGAUCUCAGGCAUCUGGUGUACUGGGUGGAUAAAUUUUCACUUUUGCCAAUGUGGGACCCUCCUUCCACCAGCAGUCUGAGUAGAUCUCAGGUACCCUAAUAACCGUGUACAUCUUGGAAAUUCCACAGCAGGCUUUCCCCUGCUACCCAAGCUCAAGACACAUGGGGGAACCAAGGAUAUACUCCCAGGUCACAGGACUCCCACAGCACACUCGUCCAGUAUGAAUGGUUUUAUCAUCUUCCCAGAACUUCCUCCAACAGGUCUGGCAGCUGCCUCUCCUGGGACGUAGACACGUUCCCCUUCCCACUGAGGCUGCAGACCCACCCUAAACCCCAGAAUGCUGGAUGGGGCCCCAACUUUCCUGCUUCAGGAGCCAGGGAUUUCAGCCAAAGGACCAGCAACAGAGGCUGUGAGUGGACUGCUCUCAAAGGUUCUGAGGCUGGAGAAGACUGGCUGCAGCCAAGAGCCACCCUCAGAGGCUUGUGUACCCUGGGGUGAUGGUAACUAAAACAACCUCUCUCACGUGGGAAUGGCUCUGACAUUA
This 4045-nucleotide long non-coding RNA is filed under the name Sus scrofa (pig). Its description in RNAcentral is "lncRNA (ENSSSCG00005023605.1)". The record is from RNAcentral. Lineage: Eukaryota; Metazoa; Chordata; Mammalia; Artiodactyla; Suidae.